Molecule: long non-coding RNA, 1365 nt
Organism: Dermacentor albipictus
Lineage: Eukaryota; Metazoa; Arthropoda; Arachnida; Ixodida; Ixodidae
Source: RefSeq, a predicted model, not a curated record
AUAGCUUGUGAGUGGUGCUGUGCACAAAAAAAGAAAUUGCUAGAGAAUAAUGCGGUAGCCUUCGCGGCGGACACGCAUAAAUAUUGCAUAAAUAACAUGUUGCAGAGGACGAAAGAAAAGUGUGUGCAUCGCAGUCAGUUAUAGAUCAUUUACUAACCGCUUUCAUAUUGCUUCGUUUCACUUUAUUUGAACGUGUGCGUGGGAUUUGUAUAUUUGUAAUGUGAUAAGAGGUAUACCUUGCACAUGAUAUAUUUUAGCCUUCAUCAGUAGUUUGUGGCUCUCUUGAAACUGACAAGCCCCCACUGUAUGCUACGUUGAAGCGCUAUGAAAUGUGGGUAUACAGGUCGUGAUGAAAAUUUGUUGGGAUCAGCGAACACAUGCCAAACUGCGUGAUAUCGCCUUCUGGUGAAGCAAGAGACUUGUGUUGUUAGGCACACGAGCUAGAAUGAAGGCGCAUGCGCAGUGCCGUGUCUUCAUAUUAAGAGCUAGUUUGGGCAGAGGGUGCAGGAAUGCGUCAUGGCACCCCCUCCUAGAUUGUGCGACAUUUGACUGCGCUUGGCGCUAUCCCGCUCUAGGAAGUCACCGCCUCCACGGUCCGUACGGGACGAGGCGACUGUGGCCCGGAAAGAAACAGGUCGAUCCUACUUGACGAUGCCGAGCGGCCACUACAACUUGGCCCAGGGUGCAAGCAGUGCACCCUCUGAUCUGGAGGAAAGCAGUGUUCCCGCAGAAACCAGAGAAGCAGCGGGGCACCAGCGAGACAACCAGGCUGCCUACAGAAAGCAAGAGUGCGACGUGUGCCGGUUCGCUUUCACCGACGCGGAGGCCUUCGAAAAGCAUGCCGCUGACCACUUGCUUGGGAAAAAACACAACUGUCCCGUGUGCGGUAAACUGUUUCCGAGGCCUUCGAAGCUCACGAGCCAUUUAGCUACACACGGUGAACCAUCCUUUGAGUGCGCUGUCUGCGGCAAAAAAUAUUAUACCGUAGGUGGCCACAGGAACCAUAUGCUGUCAUGCCACCUAGGCGCACACGACUGAGAAGUCAUCGAGGCGUCUCGUUCACACCACAGCACACACCGCGAAAUUGGACGAGCCCGUAGGGAAGCACUGUCGCACCUGACAGGGGCAUCGGCAUUGGUGUAGCCGGAUAUUCGCCUGGGAGGAGUGACGUCUCUGGAUGUCACUCUGGCGCCAAGACGUGUCGUGUGCCUUCGCAGAAGAACUUGCGGUCUGGGCCUCAACUGUUACAGCUGAGCGCUAACUUUUUGACAAACAAAAUAUGGCUAAUCUUAUUCCUUCUGACUACGGCUGACAAAUGCCUGCCAAUAAAGUUCUUACAAUAAAGUUAUCGCGAGGGAUACUGUG